CGACCAAGGGGCCGGGCUGCUCUGAUUGUUUCAGGAUCGGAGGGGCCUAGGGGUACAGGGAGUACCCCCGAUGAGGGCCGGGUCGGGGUAAGC
Molecule: non-coding RNA, 93 nt
Organism: Pseudomonas sp.
Lineage: Bacteria; Pseudomonadati; Pseudomonadota; Gammaproteobacteria; Pseudomonadales; Pseudomonadaceae
Source: Rfam